GGGACUCGAAAGGCCGAGGAACCCCGCCGCACGAGGAUGAUGAUGAAUCGGUGCAAGCGAGGUGUUCGAGCUUGGGCUCCAAUGGGAAUGAAGUGGAAAUCUGGAGAGCGGGGUGGGGAGGGGGGAGAGAGUGGCGCUGAUCGAAUUGGAGGUAUUGGAUUUCCAUUGGAGAAGAGUAGCAGGAUGCGGCGGCGGAGGUGAG
RNAcentral lists this unclassified non-coding RNA (202 nucleotides) under Hevea brasiliensis (rubber tree). The record is from RNAcentral. Lineage: Eukaryota; Viridiplantae; Streptophyta; Magnoliopsida; Malpighiales; Euphorbiaceae.